This 662-nucleotide unclassified non-coding RNA is filed under the name Hevea brasiliensis (rubber tree). The record is from RNAcentral. Lineage: Eukaryota; Viridiplantae; Streptophyta; Magnoliopsida; Malpighiales; Euphorbiaceae.
UCUCUGUCCCUACCUUCUUUUUGUCUUUGUUUAUAGCAUUUCUUUACAACCCUUCUGUGAUAUGUUCACGUUUUCCUUGUUUGCGAUCUUGAGCUUUCAGGUCUUUUUCUUUUUUGUUUGUAGGUUGCUUAUAAUAGUCAUUUGAAGAAGUGGAUUGCAAGUUUUUUUAGUGGUUCUUUUGAUACUAAUAAUUCAUUAUUGCUAAUUAUUGCAGUUGCAAGUUUUAAUCAUAUUGGGAUUAUGCUUUUGUAGUUGUUUUCCUUUUCUUUAUUUGAUCAGUUUAUGAUUUGCCUUUUUCAGCAGCUAUCAUUUGCCAUCGGAUACUCAAGGCUUAGGCUUGAAAUUCCAAUCUAGAAAGUAGCAUUUAAUACUCUGAUUUUUGGGAAUUGAAGUAUAUUUUUGGGAAUUUAGAAGCCAAUCUAGCACGGUGGAAAAUUAAUCUAAGACAAGCAAUUGUGGACUUGAAUUCAAUUUUACUUUUGAAACCCAAAAGGGGAAUCAGUUGGGGGUUGGUCUUUGAGGAUUCUGUAGCUAUGGGGGAUUGUGGCUCUGUGAUUCCAGAGUUGGAAAGAGAAGAAGACUUGAUUGCUGCGGCAAAACACAUUGCAAGGGCAUUGGGAUCUAAAAAGAACCUCACUGAUGAUGCCAAGAAAAUUUUGGCA